UGGGGGAUAUUGCACAAUGGGCGAAAGCCUGAUGCAGCGACGCCGCGUGAGGGAAGACGGUCUUCGGAUUGUAAACCUCUGUCUUCAGGGACGAUAAUGACGGUACCUGAGGAGGAAGCUCCGGCUAACUACGUGCCAGCAGCCGCGGUAAUACGUAGGGGGCGAGCGUUGUCCGGAUUUACUGGGCGUAAAGCGCUCGUAGGCUGUUUGUUAAGUCAGAGGUGAAAUCCCACGGCUCAACCGUGGAACUGCCUUUGAUACUGGCAGACUAGAAUCCGGGAGAGGGUGGCGGAAUUCCAGGUGUAGGAGUGAAAUGCGUAGAUAUGCGGAGGAACACCGAUGGCGAAGGCAAUCCCCUGGGCCUGCACUGACGCUCAUGCGCGAAAGCGUGGGGAGCAAACA
This 402-nucleotide ribosomal RNA is filed under the name uncultured bacterium. RNAcentral describes it as "bacterial SSU rRNA". It matches the Rfam family "Bacterial small subunit ribosomal RNA", at positions 355 to 774 of the family's 1533-position model. The record is from RNAcentral.